UGACUCCUACGUGAGUCACACAGAAUGUGAGGACAAGCUUUUGUUUUCUUCAUUUAUCUGCACCAGUAACUAGAAAGCAGUCCGUACACUUUCACGGAAGGAAUGAAUGAAGGAAUGAAGGAAUGGGCAGCGCCCGAAACGGAGCGCACAUUCGCCAGAUUCCAAACGACCCCUACACUCUCUCGGAACCGAACCGCCGAAGGCGAAGGAAGGCUGCAGGCCUGCUCGGGUCGGCUCUGCGGCGCGAUCGGGUUCUCGGCCCCCCCGCGGACUCCGUUUCUGCGGAAAGUCGUACCCCCGUUCCGGGCUCUCUCUCUGGGGGAACCUGGGCCCUCCCUGGGGCGAGCGACGCCGGAACUUCCAGAGGGAGAGCAGGAAUUCCUGCGACCCAGGCCCAGCCGAGAGUGAUCUCCACACCCAACAUGGGGCUUGAACUUACAACCCCCGCAAAUCAAGAGUCACCUGCACCACCAACGGAGCCAGCCAGGCACCCAGAGGACCACAGCUUUGACAACGAUCAACCCCUGCCCAGGGAAUGGGGUGGGUGGGGAAUAUUAAAGCAUAUCUAUGUGCCUGCAGUUUAUUUCCUUCUGUUUUAAUCCCAAGCUUCUGUAGACUUAAGUUAAUACACGUUUGUGGUUGUCAACACAAGGGAAAGCCUAUACCGCUGGGUCUGGUAUUUAUAGAUGUUCAAUAAAUGUUUACUGGAUUUGAAUACA
Long non-coding RNA from Mustela lutreola (European mink), 719 nucleotides. RefSeq lists it as uncharacterized. NCBI's taxonomy places the organism in Eukaryota, Metazoa, Chordata, Mammalia, Carnivora, Mustelidae. The transcript has 2 exons. The record is from RefSeq and is a predicted model, not a curated record.